ACAGUUACCUUUGAGCCAAGGCACUGCAACCCCCCCCCCCCCCCCCCCCCCCGUCAGAACUUACACACCUCUCACAGUGUUUGCGGGAUCGGAAAGGGAGUGGGGGGCGAUGUAGACCGCCUCCUCCGUCCUUAUCUUUCCCUUGUUUCGUAAGCCCCGGACUCAGCGUCCUGCUUUCCCCCAAAGCUAAGGCAAUCUCCGCAGGCCCUGCAAUCAGGCGGAGAAGCCGGGGGCGAUGAGGGGCGGGACGGCUCCUGGCGCCCUCUUUUCCAGCCCCGCUCCCGCGCUGCCUGCCCGAAGCCCGCGCUGCAGCUAGAGAGAGACUCGGGGCCCAGCCACCCCGCCUCUGCCGGGGCCCCAGGAGGAACCUAAGAAAGGAGAGAUGGAGGGAGGACAUGGCAUCUCUUCAGGAAGGGGCAGGACCUCCAGGACCGAAGCAACGCGUACCAAAGGCAGCUGCAUCACCUUCCUGCCUGCUAGAGCCCUAAACCUCACCCCACCCACCGGCCGCAGACGCCCAGGGAAGGAGAACAUUUUUAGACAGCUUGUAAAGCCUCAGCUAAAAUGGUCAUCUGAGCUGGGACUUAGUUUCCCGAAAAGAUAACUCUAUUGAUGAUCAAAGGAAGAGACUGGUUCCAUUAGCCAAGUUGCCUAUACCGUGGCCUUCAAAAUAAAGGAAGAAAUGUAUUUCAGAAGUAUCUGAGUAACACACUUUACUCAUAAUAUUGCUUGUUGUCUGUUGCAACUUACCUUCCAUCUGAGUACUUUAUUUUAAGCACUACCAAA
This 786-nucleotide long non-coding RNA is filed under the name Rhinopithecus bieti (black snub-nosed monkey). Its description in RNAcentral is "lncRNA (ENSRBIG00000045634.1)". Lineage: Eukaryota; Metazoa; Chordata; Mammalia; Primates; Cercopithecidae. The record is from RNAcentral.